AUAAACUAUGCCUGCCAGCGAUCCGCCGAAGUUCCUCCGAUGACUCGGCGGGCAGCUUCCGGGAAACCAGAGCUUUUGGGUUCCGGGGGAAGUAUGGUUGCAAAGCUGAAACUUAAAGGAAUUGACGGAGGGGCACCACCAGGAGUGGAGCCUGCGGCUUAAUUUGACUCAACACGGGAAAACUCACCAGGCCCGGACACCGGAAGGAUUGACAGAUUGAGAGCUCUUUCUUGAUUCGGUGGGUGGUGGUGCAUGGCCGUUCUUAGUUGGUGGAGCGAUUUGUCUGGUUAAUUCCGAUAACGAACGAGACUCUAGCCUACUAACUAGGCGUACCCGGUAUCCACAAUCGUGCUACCGGCGAACUAACUUCUUCUUAGAGGGACAGGCGGCUUCUAGCCGCACGAGACUGAGCAAUAACAGGUCUGUGAUGCCCUUAGAUGUCCUGGGCCGCACGCGCGCUACACUGAAGGAAUCAGCGUGUCUUCCCUGUCCGAAAGGACCGGGUAACCCGCUGAACCUCCUUUGUGCUAGGGAUUGGGGCUUGCAAUUGUUUCCCAUGAACGAGGAAUUCCCAGUAAGCGUGAGUCAUAAGCUCGCGUUGAUUACGUCCCUGCCCCUUGUACACACCGCCCGUCGCUACUACCGAUUGAAUGAUUUAGUGAGGUCUUCGGACUGGUGCGCGGUGGCCGUUAUGCGGCACCCGAUGUUGCCGGAAAGAUGACCAAACUUGAUCAUUUAGAGGAAGUAAAAGUCGUAACAAGGUUU
Molecule: ribosomal RNA, 765 nt
Filed under: Caliscelis sp. YS-2012
Lineage: Eukaryota; Metazoa; Arthropoda; Insecta; Hemiptera; Caliscelidae
Description: SSU rRNA
Rfam family: Eukaryotic small subunit ribosomal RNA
Source: RNAcentral